Molecule: microRNA, 20 nt
Filed under: Corchorus capsularis
Lineage: Eukaryota; Viridiplantae; Streptophyta; Magnoliopsida; Malvales; Malvaceae
Description: sRNA CCACVL1_30653
Source: RNAcentral
UUUUCUUCUUCUUCUUCGUA